GCAUGCAUGAGCAUGAAUGACAUCAGCUUCUUUGGACGUUAUUUUAAAAUAUUUUGGAGGGAACGGAAUAUUGCAGUAGUGCAACUGCCUGAUUGCAUGCUGUAGGUCAGGAGUCUUUAGAAGAGGAGAAGGAAAAUCAGGGAUGAAUAUCUCAACUUUAUGCAUUAUGACAUGACCUACCACCACAAAAGGAAGAGAUGACAAUCUACCAGGCACUUCAGACCAUAAUUCCUUGUCAUUUGACAUUCAGGAUAAUAGAACACCAGUGUGUACACGUGAAUUUUCGAACUAUGAUGGUCAAGGUUUGGAGGAAGAAAAUGAGUAUUGCGACUACGGAAGAAACAUAACAUCCAAAUACUCAUUCAGCAAACAUGUCAUUAAGAUUUCCUCAGCCAUAUGAAGACAGUCUAAAUUACUAUUAAAAAAAUCUAUCUCAGAUAUAAAGAUUGUGUGGUCUCAGUUUACAAAACCUAUGUACAACUUAUUAUUAAAUAUAAUAAUAUGUUCUGUAGUUAUACAUAACAUUUUGUUAUAUGUUCUGUAGUUAUACAACUGGACACCUAAUUACUUUAGAAACAAGUCAAAGAAAAUGUACUAAAAUGGUUUCUUUAUUCAGUGGUUUGAGUUGCUCUGAAUGUUUCAAUGAUUUAAUGAUUGGAGAUUCAAACUAAGAGCCGACUUAAGUCAUUUAAGAGUUUACCUGAUCUCAAAACCCAUAGUUCAAGUUUGCAAACUAUAAACAUCUAAAUUGUAUAUAAAGGGCUUUAAUUCAUCCACAAAUUUAACAAAUAGAGGUAAGGAAUUCCAUAAUCUGCCAGCCCUUACCUGAACAAAAGUAGACUUUAACCUUGAAUUAACUGAAGCAAUCUUGACCACUCAUUUGUUAUUUCUUGUCUGAAGCUCAUGACUAAUAAAUGACUAAUACAUUCUAUUUCUAACAUUGCAGUAGGAUAAUCACCAUGCAAACAUUUAUAAACACUGCCCUUAAAAAUCUGUAGACUAUGGAACAGAGGGUUAAGUUCCUAAGACUACCUACAUAAGUCUUUGACUCAUAGCAGUUUAUUUAUCUUGUCAACAUUUUCUGUAUAUGCUGUAAUGACUUCAUUUGUUUGAUGUUAUAUGAGCAAAAUGAUCCACCAUAUUCAUUAUUGGACAAAUACUAGUACAUUUUGAUACAGAGUAUGUCUGUUUAUUAAAUGAAACUUAAAUCUGAAGUACAUAAAAGCAAUAUUAAAGAGAUAUAAAAAGGCAGAUAUUUUUGCUCUAUAUGGAUGAUCAAUACAGGGAAGAAAAUACAUGCUAAAUAUUUCCACAAAUUAUUUGAAAGUGACAAACUUAAGGAGAUCAGAGCCAUACAGUUCAUAACGUUAUGAGAUCUAAGCUGAAUUUACUAAACAAAUAGUAGUAAAACUGCGUUAUGUGCAUUUUUAUUUAACACAUAACUGAUUCACAAUAAAGAGGUAUAACAUUUUUGUGCACAAAAUAUUGAAUACCUACAUUUAAUCAAUUGUUUUUGUUUUUGUUUUUCCAGUAGGAUAUAAUUUGAUUUUUAGAAACUAGGUAAAUAAGUGUCAGUAAUGUGAUAUUUUUUCUUUAAAUAAUAGUCCAUAUAACUGAAUUCAGAUUUAUGAAGCAUCUUCUCAACCAUCUUGUUUGUUAUAAAUGAAAAAUUAUAGGGUAAUUGUAUUGCAUUUUGCCUUUAAAAAAUUCCUCAUGCUAACUCCUUUCUCUAAUUAACAUAUUUGAACCCAUUUGUAAAAAUUCUGAUGUUGGUUAUGAUUUCUUUCAAAAUGUGAAGAUCUCGCCGGAGGCAUUUUCAGGUACGAAUUUGGAAAGGCUCUUCGAAGUCUAUUCAAUUUAUAGACUUUACCUAACAGAUGAUUUCUCCCUAUACAGGUACAAAUUUCAGAUCCACAGGGGAUUUGCCUCUUUAUUUUCAUCUGAAUUGUUGUGAAUAAGGGCUUUAGAUCACAGUUUCCAUAGCUAUU
Long non-coding RNA from Protopterus annectens (West African lungfish), 1988 nucleotides. RefSeq lists it as uncharacterized. The transcript has 4 exons. The record is from RefSeq and is a predicted model, not a curated record. Lineage: Eukaryota; Metazoa; Chordata; Ceratodontiformes; Protopteridae.